Molecule: long non-coding RNA, 1523 nt
Organism: Struthio camelus australis
Lineage: Eukaryota; Metazoa; Chordata; Aves; Struthioniformes; Struthionidae
Source: Ensembl
GGCUGAUCAGGCCGUUGCGAUGUGAUGCUACUGCUCUCCCGCCAGCUUUGUUCAGAGCAGGACUUUGUCCUGAAGUGUACAUCCACGCUUGUGCCGGCAGAUGGCAUCCCAUAUGUCAGCAAGCACCCUCCGAAAAGGAACAGUUCAUGACACUUGGAGACCUGCUUGCAGCCAUGGCCAAAACAUUUCCAUUUAUUUCCUCUAAACGUUCAUCAGGAUCGUGGUCACAGAAAACUGAAGCCCUGCUAGAAAAGGGAGAGGACCAGAUGCUGGGAUCCGCCCACUCCCUGAGUAUGUCUCAGGACUGCCUGCUUCAGUUGGUGUUCAGAAGACAUAGGCGUCACUUAAUGACCUGCUGUUCAAACUAUGCUCUGCGGACAACAUUAAUAGCCUUCCCUGCAAUUGCUGUGGUUGGCCUCUGUCUGCAUAAUCAUUCAGCUUGAAAUGUUAAUCUGGUUUAUAUUUUACUACCAUAUAAAAGUGUGCCUGGAUCAGGGAAACCUGCAGUGCAAUAACCACAAUAGUGCGUGUUCCUAAAUUAAGCAUCCUUCCUUGCUGCUACACUGCAACUUCACCUGGGGACCUCUGCACUGGAUAAAUACAUGACUGCACAAAAGAAGGUAAAACAGAGCAUAUGGCUUCAUUGGGAUUUAGUUCUAACACUUUCUAAGGAAUUACUGUAGCAUUUCUUUCAGAGAAAAAGAAGUUCUCUUCCUAUCACACACACAAAGAAACUGCUGAGAGAUUUGUGUAAGCUUAUUGCAACUGUCUCCACAUUAUUGAUCCUGUGGCUGUUCUGUAAGGCAAUUGCAAACAAUAAGUCAUCAUUGCGUGUUAGUCGCAAAAAAAAAGCAAGGGGAGGUGGGAGUGCAAUCUGAAUACAGAUUCUGACCUGCUUUCUGUGUCUCUGAACAUCGAGACAAAUUUAAGCAUCACCAGCCCAGACCUUGAGUCCUACAUAGUGGAAUAACUAUACAAAAAAGCAGUUUACUGCCUCAUCUUUAAUUCUGCUGUGUCUAGCAAAGCCAUUGCUUUACAGUGCUGAAGUAUUAGAAAUGCUGCUAUUUGAAAUGCCAGUAAUGCUAAAAAUAUAGUACAGGACUAUGCUACCACUACAAUAACAAGUGGAUGACAUAUCAAAGAGAAAGCUAUUUUAACAAAGGUAUGUAUGGAUAAUGAUAAAUAGAAGUACAGAAGAUACUCAAAUUUAGACUGUAAGAGUUUUUCUUUUGCAAACUGUUAGUGUUUUGUGCACAUUAACAUGAAGCAAGCAAUGGGGAUGUCUAAUAUCUUUGCUUGAGCCAUCAAUGAAAAUAUUGAAGGAUAUUGAUGCCUGUGUGAAAACAGAUCUAAGUAUCAGCAGUACUUAAAAACUUCCCAAAGAAUCAUUCAUCGUUUUAACUGAUGUUUCUUUUACACGACAUAGCUAGAAUAGUUAAUACUAUUAAACAUGUUGCGUUAGAUACUAAGUGAUAAGCAAGUACAGGAAUAAAGCACUAACCAAACCUACUCUUGAAAGAGAA